This 423-nucleotide ribosomal RNA is filed under the name uncultured archaeon. RNAcentral describes it as "partial 16S ribosomal RNA". It matches the Rfam family "Archaeal small subunit ribosomal RNA", at positions 323 to 746 of the family's 1478-position model. The record is from RNAcentral.
CUACGGGAUGCAGCAGUCGAGAAUCUUUUACAAUGCACGAAAGUGUGAUAAAGCGAGCCAGAGUGUUUUCCGCAUAGGAAAACUUUUCUUUGUUGUAAAAAGACAGAGGAAUAAGGAGUGGGUAAGACCGGUGCCAGCCGCCGCGGUAAUACCGGCAGUCCAAGUUGCAACCAUUAUUAUUGGGUCUAAAACAUCCGUAGCUUGUCUGAAAAGUUUUUUGUGAAAUCCCAUGUCUCAAGCACGGGGCGGGCGAAAAAUACUAUCAGACUAGAGACCGGUAGAUGCAAAGAGUACGGCUAAGGUAAUAGUAAAAUAUGUUAAUCUUGGUUGGACUAACAACUAGCGAAGGCACUUUGCAAGAACGGAUCUGACAGUGAGGGAUGAAGGCCAGGGGCGCAAAACGGAUUAGAUACCCUCGUAGUC